GACAGAGGGUGCAAACGUUGCUCGGAAUUACUGGGCGUAAAGCGCGUGUAGGCGGUUCCGCAAGUCAGGUGUGAAAGCCCAGGGCUCAACCCUGGAAGUGCACUUGAUACUACGGAGCUUGAGUACUGAAGAGGAGAGCGGAAUUCCCGGUGUAGAGGUGAAAUUCGUAGAUAUCGGGAGGAACACCAGUGGCGAAGGCGGCUCUCUGGGCAGAUACUGACGCUGAGGAGCGAAAGCGUGGGGAGCGAACAGG
Molecule: ribosomal RNA, 253 nt
Filed under: uncultured bacterium
Lineage: Bacteria
Description: partial 16S ribosomal RNA
Rfam family: Bacterial small subunit ribosomal RNA
Source: RNAcentral